CGCGUAGGCGGUCUGCUAAGCGUGCGGUGAAAGCCUGGGGCUCAACCCCAGGUCUGCCGUGCGAACUGGUGGACUUGAGCACUGUAGAGGCAGGUGGAAUUCCGGGUGUAGCGGUGGAAUGCGUAGAGAUCCGGAAGAACACCAGUGGCGAAGGCGGCCUGCUGGGCAGUUGCUGACGCUGAUGCGCGACAGCGUGGGGAGCAAACA
RNAcentral lists this ribosomal RNA (207 nucleotides) under uncultured bacterium. RNAcentral's name for it is "partial 16S ribosomal RNA". It matches the Rfam family "Bacterial small subunit ribosomal RNA", at positions 568 to 774 of the family's 1533-position model. The record is from RNAcentral.